RNAcentral lists this ribosomal RNA (253 nucleotides) under uncultured bacterium. RNAcentral's name for it is "partial 16S ribosomal RNA". It matches the Rfam family "Bacterial small subunit ribosomal RNA", at positions 524 to 776 of the family's 1533-position model. The record is from RNAcentral.
UACGAAGGGGGCUAGCGUUGCUCGGAAUGACUGGGCGUAAAGCGCGCGUAGGCGGACCUGCAAGUCGGGGGUGAAAGCCCGAGGCUCAACCUCGGAACUGCCUUCGAUACUGCGGGUCUCGAGUCCGGGAGAGGUGAGUGGAAUUCCUAGUGUAGAGGUGAAAUUCGUAGAUAUUAGGAAGAACACCAGUGGCGAAGGCGGCUCACUGGCCCGGUACUGACGCUGAGGCGCGAAAGCGUGGGGAGCAAACAGG